UAGUCAUAUGCUUGUCUCAAAGAUUAAGCCAUGCAUGUCUAAGUAUAAGCAAUCUAUACAGUGAAACUGCGAAUGGCUCAUUAAAUCAGUUAUCGUUUAUUUGAUAGUACAUUACUACUUGGAUAACCGUGGUAAUUCUAGAGCUAAUACAUGCUAAAAACCCUGGCCUCUGGUUCAGGGUGUAUUUAUUAGAUAAAAAACCAAUGUCUUCGGACUCUUUGGUGAUUCAUAAUAACUUUUCGAAUCGCAUGGCCUUGUGCUGGCGAUGGUUCAUUCAA
Molecule: ribosomal RNA, 278 nt
Filed under: uncultured eukaryote
Lineage: Eukaryota
Description: partial 18S ribosomal RNA
Rfam family: Eukaryotic small subunit ribosomal RNA
Source: RNAcentral